UUAAGUUCAGCGGGUAGUCCUACCUGAUUUGAGGUCACAUUAAUGAUGAAUUGUCCAAAGACAGUUAGAAAGCUGAACUGCCCCUCACAUUCAAUAGCAUAGAUAGUUAUCACGCCAAUGAACAAGGUUGUUCUGCUAAUGCAUUUCAGGGGAGCUGAAUCAUUUAAGAGGCCAGCAAACCCCACAUCCAAACCACUCAA
RNAcentral lists this unclassified non-coding RNA (200 nucleotides) under Cortinarius sp. RNAcentral's name for it is "partial internal transcribed spacer 2". Lineage: Eukaryota; Fungi; Basidiomycota; Agaricomycetes; Agaricales; Cortinariaceae. The record is from RNAcentral.